RNAcentral lists this ribosomal RNA (460 nucleotides) under uncultured bacterium. RNAcentral describes it as "partial 16S ribosomal RNA". It matches the Rfam family "Bacterial small subunit ribosomal RNA", at positions 338 to 795 of the family's 1533-position model. The record is from RNAcentral.
CCUACGGUGGGCAGCAGUGAGGAAUAUUGGUCAAUGGGCUUACGCCUGAACCAGCCAAGUCGCGUGAGGGAAGACUGCCCUAUGGGUUGUAAACCUCUUUUGUCAGGGAGCAACGCCGGCUACGUGUAGCCGGACUGAGAGUACCUGAAGAAAAAGCAUCGGCUAACUCCGUGCGAGCAGCCGCGGUAAUACGGAGGAUGCGAGCGUUAUCCGGAUUGAUUGGGUUUAAAGGGUGCGUGGGCGGAAUGCCAAGUCAGCGGUAAAAUCGCGGGGCUCAACCGCGCUCCGACGGUGAGACUGGAGUUCGUGAGUGGGCGAGAGGUAUGCGGAAUGCGUGGUGUAGCGGUGAAAUGCAUAGAUAUCACGCAGAACUCCGAUUGCGAAGGCAGCAUACCGGCGCCCAACUGACGCUGAAGCACGAAAGCGUGGGUAUCGAACAGGAUUAGAUACCCCAGUAGUC